UACGGUGGGGGCAAGCGUUGUUCGGAAUUACUGGGCGUAAAGGGUUCGUAGGUGGCUUGCUCAGUCAGACGUGAAAUCCCUCGGCUUAACCGGGGAACUGCGUCUGAUACUGGAUGGCUUGAGUUCGGGAGAGGGAUGCGGAAUUCCAGGUGUAGCGGUGAAAUGCGUAGAUAUCAGGAGGAACACCGGUGGCGAAGGCGACUUCCUGGACACCAACUGACGCUGAGACGCGAAAGCGUGGGGAGCAAACAGG
Molecule: ribosomal RNA, 253 nt
Filed under: uncultured bacterium
Lineage: Bacteria
Description: partial 16S ribosomal RNA
Rfam family: Bacterial small subunit ribosomal RNA
Source: RNAcentral